RNAcentral lists this transfer RNA (74 nucleotides) under Chryseobacterium sp. RNAcentral's name for it is "tRNA-Asp". It matches the Rfam family "tRNA". Rfam says of the family: Transfer RNA (tRNA) molecules are approximately 80 nucleotides in length. Their secondary structure includes four short double-helical elements and three loops (D, anti-codon, and T loops). Further hydrogen bonds mediate the characteristic L-shaped molecular structure. tRNAs have two regions of fundamental functional importance: the anti-codon, which is responsible for specific mRNA codon recognition, and the 3' end, to which the tRNAs corresponding amino acid is attached (by aminoacyl-tRNA synthetases). tRNAs cope with the degeneracy of the genetic code in two manners: having more than one tRNA (with a specific anti-codon) for a particular amino acid; and 'wobble' base-pairing, i.e. permitting non-standard base-pairing at the 3rd anti-codon position. The record is from RNAcentral. Lineage: Bacteria; Pseudomonadati; Bacteroidota; Flavobacteriia; Flavobacteriales; Weeksellaceae.
GAGCGCAUCGUCUAAAUGGAAGGACACCGGCUUAUCGUGCCGGAAAUUCAGGUUCAAUUCCUGCUGCGCUCCCA